Molecule: ribosomal RNA, 493 nt
Filed under: Panthera onca (jaguar)
Lineage: Eukaryota; Metazoa; Chordata; Mammalia; Carnivora; Felidae
Description: partial 16S ribosomal RNA
Rfam family: Bacterial large subunit ribosomal RNA
Source: RNAcentral
CUGUUUACCAAAAACAUCACCUCUAGCAUUUCCAGUAUUAGAGGCACUGCCUGCCCAGUGACAUCAGUUAAACGGCCGCGGUAUCCUGACCGUGCAAAGGUAGCAUAAUCAUUUGUUCCUUAAAUAGGGACUUGUAUGAAUGGCCACACGAGGGCUUUACUGUCUCUUACUUCCAAUCCGUGAAAUUGACCUUCCCGUGAAGAGGCGGGAAUAUGACAAUAAGACGAGAAGACCCUAUGGAGCUUUAAUUAACCGACCCAAAGAGAUCUUGAUAAUCAACCGACAGGGAUAACAUACCUCUACCAUGGGCCGACAAUUUAGGUUGGGGUGACCUCGGAGAAUAAAACAACCUCCGAGUGAUUUAAAUCUAGACUAACUAGUCGAAAGUACUACAUCACUUAUUGAUCCAAAAACUUGAUCAACGGAACAAGUUACCCUAGGGAUAACAGCGCAAUCCUAUUUUAGAGUCCAUAUCGACAAUAGGAUUGCGCUG